This 484-nucleotide ribosomal RNA is filed under the name uncultured soil bacterium. RNAcentral describes it as "bacterial SSU rRNA". It matches the Rfam family "Bacterial small subunit ribosomal RNA", at positions 26 to 507 of the family's 1533-position model. The record is from RNAcentral.
AGAUUGAACGCUGGCGGCAGGCCUAACACAUGCAAGUCGAGCGGCAGCACGGGUACUUGUACCUGGUGGCGAGCGGCGGACGGGUGAGUAAUGCCUAGGAAUCUGCCUGGUAGUGGGGGAUAACGCUCGGAAACGGACGCUAAUACCGCAUACGUCCUACGGGAGAAAGCAGGGGACCUUCGGGCCUUGCGCUAUCAGAUGAGCCUAGGCCGGAUUAGCUAGUUGGUGAGGUAAUGGCUCACCAAGGCGACGAUCCGUAACUGGUCUGAGAGGAUGAUCAGUCACACUGGAACUGAGACACGGUCCAGACUCCUACGGGAGGCAGCAGUGGGGAAUAUUGGACAAUGGGCGAAAGCCUGAUCCAGCCAUGCCGCGUGUGUGAAGAAGGUCUUCGGAUUGUAAAGCACUUUAAGUUGGAGGAAGGCAGUUACCUAAUACGUAUCUGUUUGACGUUACGACAGAAUAAGCACCGGCUAACUCUGUG